GUUUCUAUGGUGUAAAAGCACACUAGAUUUUCAGCCUAGAAGAAUAAAUUUAUUUAUUAGAAAUA
RNAcentral lists this transfer RNA (65 nucleotides) under Benthomangelia sp. JEU-2016. Its description in RNAcentral is "tRNA-Glu". Lineage: Eukaryota; Metazoa; Mollusca; Gastropoda; Neogastropoda; Conidae. The record is from RNAcentral.